This 630-nucleotide long non-coding RNA is filed under the name Corvus moneduloides (New Caledonian crow). Its description in RNAcentral is "lncRNA (ENSCMUG00000020009.1)". Lineage: Eukaryota; Metazoa; Chordata; Aves; Passeriformes; Corvidae. The record is from RNAcentral.
AUGGAACUCUCUCCUUUCUUUCUGUCUCUUCCCUGGCUCAGGCAAACCCAAUGGUUAUUUAGGCAAAACCCCCUGUAUAAACCCCCCUGCCAGCACAGAGCUGCCAAAAUCCCAGCUGGGGUUGGACACCCUGGGAGUGUGAUUGGGCCCCCACCCCGCAGGGCAGGCCCGGAGCGGGGUGUGGGAGCAUUCCCCGUGUGGGAGCAUUCCCAGUGUGUCCUCAGGGUGUGGGAGCAUUCCCAGUGUGGGAGCAUUCCCCGUGCCCUCAGGGUGUGGGAGCAUUCCCUGUGCCCUCUAAACCCCAGACAAUGCAGGGAGGGCUGGCGGAACACAGGGAGGGAGGGUCCUCCUUCCCUGCAGAGCCAAACACGUCCACCUGCACCCAGACACGCUGGUGCCGCACCGAGCCCAGAAGCCCCUGAGCCCUCAGGGUACAUCCCCAGCUCAGAAACCGCAGGGUUAAGAAGUCGCCAGCUGCCCUCGGGCCCCAGCGAGGCACAGCUCCCUGGGGAUGGGAGAUGCUGUGCCGGUAGCUCAGCACAGCCGAGGGGCCUGGCUGCUGCUGGGACAUUGACUGAGGUGAGCACGGCUCGGGAACGGCCUCUCCUGGCCUGGUGGCCCCAGCCCUGA